GCGCAGGAAUGUGAAAGGCGCGCGCCCGCCGCCAUUUUCUCUCUUUCUUGGCAGACAGCGGCAGCGGCCGGAGCGGCGCCGGGGAGGCCAUGGCGGACUAUUCCACGGUGCCCCCUCCUGCCGCGGGCGCGCCCGGGGGAGGUGGCGGCGGGGCUGGAGGAGUGAACGAUGCCUUUAAAGACGCGCUGCAGAGGGCUAGGCAGAUUGCAGCGAAAAUUGGAGGAGAUGCUGGCACAGCAAUGAAUUCAAACGACUACGGUUAUGGAGGGCAGAAAAGACCUCUCGAGGAUGGAGAUCAACCAGAUGCUAAGAAAGUUGCUCCCCAGAAUGACUCUUUUGGAAAUCAGCUACCACCGAUGCAUCAGCAGCAAAGGUCUGUGAUGACAGAGGAGUACAAAGUUCCAGAUGGGAUGGUUGGAUUCAUCAUUGGCAGAGGUGGAGAGCAGAUCUCACGCAUUCAGCAGGAGUCUGGCUGCAAAAUACAGAUUGCACCCGAUAGUGGAGGCCUGCCUGAAAGAUCAUGUAUGCUAACUGGGACACCAGAGUCUGUUCAGUCAGCAAAAAGAUUGCUUGAUCAGAUAGUUGAAAAGGGAAGACCUGCACCUGGAUUUCAUCAUGGUGAUGGACCUGGAAAUGCAGUCCAAGAAAUUAUGAUUCCAGCAAGUAAAGCAGGAUUAGUUAUUGGGAAAGGUGGAGAGACAAUUAAACAAUUACAGGAGCGGGCAGGUGUCAAAAUGGUCAUGAUUCAGGAUGGCCCACAGAACACUGGUGCAGACAAGCCCCUUAGGAUAACUGGAGACCCUUAUAAAGUUCAGCAAGCCAAGGAAAUGGUGCUGGAGUUAAUUCGCGACCAAGGUGGCUUUAGAGAGGUGCGCAACGAGUAUGGGUCAAGAAUAGGAGGAAAUGAAGGGAUAGACGUUCCAAUACCACGAUUUGCUGUAGGUAUUGUAAUUGGAAGAAAUGGAGAGAUGAUUAAGAAGAUCCAGAAUGAUGCUGGUGUUAGGAUCCAGUUCAAGCCAGAUGAUGGAACAACUCCAGAUAGAAUAGCCCAGAUCACAGGGCCUCCUGACAGAUGUCAGCAUGCUGCAGAAAUUAUUACAGAUCUCCUUCGCAGUGUUCAGGCUGGUAACCCUGGUGGGCCAGGACCUGGUGGUCGAGGACGGGGUAGAGGCCAAGGCAACUGGAACAUGGGGCCUCCUGGUGGAUUACAGGAGUUCAAUUUUAUUGUCCCUACUGGCAAAACUGGAUUAAUCAUUGGAAAAGGUGGUGAAACUAUUAAAAGUAUAAGCCAACAGUCUGGUGCUAGAAUAGAACUUCAGAGAAAUCCUCCACCUAAUGCAGAUCCAAACAUGAAGAUGUUUACUAUCCGUGGGACACCCCAGCAAAUAGAUUAUGCACGACAACUUAUAGAGGAAAAGAUUGGAGGUCCAGUGAAUCCAUUGGGUCCCCCGGUUCCCCAUGGUCCCCAUGGUGUUGUUCCUGGCCCACAUGGACCUCCUGGGCCACCAGGUCCUGGUGCUCCCAUGGGACCCUACAACCCAGCUCCUUACAACCCAGGCCCUCCUGGUCCUGCCCCUCAUGGUCCUCCAGCUCCAUAUGCUCCACAGGGAUGGGGAAAUGCUUAUCCACACUGGCAGCCACCAAACCCACCAGACCCAGGUAAGCCAGGAACAGAUCCCAAUUCAGCAGCGUGGGCAGCUUAUUAUGCUCACUAUUACCAGCAGCAAGCACAGCCACCACCUGCAGCCCCUCCUGGUGGACCAGCUACAACCCAAACCAAUGGACAAGGAGAUCAGCCAAAUCCAGCACCAGCAGGGCAGGUUGACUAUACCAAGGCCUGGGAGGAGUACUACAAAAAAAUGGGUCAAGCUGUGCCUGCCCCUGCUGGGGCUCCUCCAGGCGGGCAGCCAGAUUACAGCGCGGCGUGGGCCGAGUACUACCGGCAGCAGGCAGCGUACUACGCUCAGACAAGUCCCCAGGGAAUGCCACAGCAUCCUCCAGCACCACAGGGCCAAUAAUAAGAAGUGGACAAUACAGUAUUUGCUUCAUUGUGUGGGGGAAAAAACCUUUGUUAAAUGUAUGGAUGCAGACGCCUUGAUGAAGAUCUUAAAUUUGGUUUAAAAAAAUAGUGUUUUUGAAAAUGUACAAAAUAUCUAUCACUACUGAUAGGAGGUAAUAUUUCUGUGUAGAAAUGAAAAAAUGGUUUGUUUUUAGUAUUAGUGUAGAUGUACACAUUCCAGCAAAUGUAUUUGCAAUUAUGUGGUCAAUGCUUUGUGAUAUAAAUGUACUUUUUCAAUGUAUACUUUAUCACUUUUAAAAUGCCUGUUUUGUGCUUUACAAUAAAUAAUAUGAAACCUCCUGUGUCGGUAAGUUGGAUAUGUGGGUAUAUGCAGUAUUGAUUAUAGGAUUGAUUUGCAACGCUGAAUCAAGGUACCGCUACACAAAUGAGUUGGGUUUUUUCCCCCCCCAUAAGCCUUGCUGAGUUUAAAAACUUGUCAUUAGCAUGUUUUUCCCCUCUUGCAGAAUAGCUGUAGAUGGAGGAUCUCUUUCAUUCAUUGUAUUUUGCUGCCUAGCACCAGUAAUCUCGAUACCUUAAUUUUUUUUCUACUUGAUUAAAACUGCAUGUGUUUAAGAAGAUGAUCUUUUGGCAUACUUCCAUUGCAUUAACAGUGAAAUUUCCUUUUAUACAUGACCACUGUUUCAGACCUGUGCAGCUGCUAUAACAGAUAACUUUUGUUGUUAAUUGAAUACUUCAAAACUGUUCCUGCAUAACUAUUCUAUGGAUUUUUUCAGACUAGUUAUAAAACUACUUUAAGUGUAAUGUGCUUAAGCCUUCAGUUUAAAGUAGUCCACUUCAAAACUCAGUGUAGAAAAGUCAAUGUGGUAAUGCAUAGUAGUUACAAAAAUUGCGUCUGUCCUUAAAACGCUGUUUUGUUGGAGUGAUGGGAGUGGUUGAGAACUUCCUGCAGAGCAGAUAACUUCUCUUUUUGUAAAUAUUCAAGUAUUUGAAUCAACUGAUUAUUUUUUUAUAUAUACUUGAAGCUUCUUAUUGCUCUAAUGCUCAUACUAAAAAGCUGAUUCUCUUGAAAUCCUGUGUUUGCUCUUUGCAUAUUUAUUGGCUCUUUGCAUAUAUUAGACUACAUGCACUACAGUCUGUCUUGCCAUUGUCUGUUGAAGUGCAGGUUUGAUCCAGCCAGUAUAGAACUAGCUCUAUAGGGGUGAGGAGGACUGUGCUGUGUAUCAUCCUUGAUUGUUCCUUCAAGGAGCAUUGCACUUGCCUUCCCAGACCUUCCACCUUAGGUUCUGCUGCAAAAAAGCAACAGGUAAGCACAACCUAAGGAAGUAUAUAAAUUAAUAUAUUUCAGUACAUUAAUGUUGUCCCUGUGAGAUCUUUGUGGUUGUGUAUUGAAAAGCAAUCUGCUGCUUCCCCAAAUGCAUUGUUACUCACGGUUCCAUUUGAAUGGAAAAUCUUAAGUUUUUAAACAACUGUUUAUAUUUCUAGGUCAAUAUGUAUUUUUUCUUUUUUCUUUUUUUUUUUUUUUAGAAAAGAAUGUUAGAUUGCAGUAAUUGAACUUGAUCAGAAUAAGUAAUUUUUGUUAUUUUACCCAAAUAGAUAAUUGUUGCAAUUAAAGAAUCAAAACCUUUAAAAUGUGCAGGAAUUGCUUUGGUUAGAAAUGUCAACAGCCUUCACAAAUGUUUUUUUUUAUGAUAGGGCACUAUUCCCAUUAAUCCAUAAGACCUAAAUGUGAAGAAUGACUUCUUGUUGUUAUCACUGAACUUGAUAACUUGUCUUACAGUUCUAGUGUGUUAGUGGAGUUUGCUUAUUAAUACUUGACAUGGUAGGAAAAGAGAUUUUGCAGUUUGAGAUGAGUAUGUUUUAACUGAACAAGCAUGAGCACCAGUUAACAGUACAGCAAAUAAUAUUUUAUUGCUAUAGCAGUCAGUGUAUGCUGUUUCUUGAUAUUUUUAACUGAAUUGCUGAAUAUUUUGAUAGUAUAAAAUGUUAAAUGUCUUACAGAUGGUCUGGUACAGGUUUUUAUUCUGAGCUUUUGUUGUUGGUUUUUUUUAGCUUAACAUAAAGCAGCAUCUGUUUGGGUUUUGUUCAUUAUUCUGCUUCUAAAAUGUGCUGCUCCUCUUUCAAAAGUCCUGCUUAUCUGUACAUCAAAGAAAAAUAUUCAAAAAUACUGCCUUCAUUUUCACACACAGUGCUGAAGAUGCUGCAAGCACCAAAUCAUAGCUCAUAGAAUCAGGUCCUGAGAUAGUUACUACCAGUAAAGAGGAAUCCUUUGAGUGUAUGCCAUUGGUGAGCCGAUGAGCAUGGACCGUAGAAGGGCUCCAUGUAGAAGGUAAAAUUGGCAAAAGCAUAACAGAUUUGAAAUGUAUCCCAUACAUAAUGAUAUAGGGUAUAAUUUUUGUUUUGAUCACUUUUCAUUCUUUAAAGUAUUCUUUGUUUGACCAUUAAUGUUCCAUAAUCUGUUAAAGUUUUUUAAACUGUGAUUUAAUAAUAUAAACCAUCUAUUUUACUUUAUAUUCUUCUAAACAGUCAAGCUAAUUUUUGAACUGAAUUAAUAGUUGUUAUUCAGUUUCUCAAGCCACUUAGUAUUUCAUCUGCAGCUUAACAUGUAACUUCAUUUUUGAUGUGAGAAGAGGGUAGGUGUGUACCAUUUGGAUUUUGAUACUGUGGAUUUAGUGUGGGGGUGAGUCAUUUGUUCACUUCCUUUUUACAUGGUACUUUUUCCUUCAACUGUUGCUCCUGAAAUAUCUUGAACAGUCUUUCAGUUGCUAAUUUAGCCUGUGGGAGGAGAUAGAGAAGAAAAAGCCAGUGUAUUGGGAUGUUACUAGUGUGGAAGGUGAGAUUUUUUCUGUGUAGCAUUUGAGGUGUAUUGGCUUCCAGCUUUCUCACUGCAGGGCUUACAGGCAUGCUGGUCUGUGCAGAGCACCGUGUUCCUUUUCUGUUUCAACUCUUGUCUCCAAACUCAGAGUUCCUGGGACAGCAGUAGAUUAUUGGAGUUACCCCAGUAGCAAAAAAGAUAACUGAAUUUGCUUAGAAAUGCAGUGGACUUGUCCAAAAGAUGUCUUGAAAUGUUUCCUGCUUACCCCACCCAUCACCUCUUAGUGUCCCACAGUGAAUGUGAAGAGUAAGAAAAGUUUGAAAAGCAAGCAUUAUGUUCCAAGUAGGAAAAGAAUUUUCAUAUCACUUUCUGCAGCCUAUACUUAAUUAGGACAUUGAAUAAGAUACCAGGUGGAUUCUCUAUAGGGUGGCUUUAUUGUAAGUCAUCUGUUUCACUUGUCAGGCAGAUAGGAUCACGAUUCACUUGCACAGCCUAUCUUGAAUUAUUUCAUCUUUAUACUAGUGAUAUUUUACUGGAUGGUAGAAACUGUUUCUCCCCAUUUCUUUCCAGAGUAAUUCUUAAGUUUUCCAUUGCAUGCUAAAAGUUUUUCCAUUUUACUUUUUCUCCAGAAGUGGGGGGAGGAAGGGAGGACUGGGCUUUUCAGAAAGCAAACAGUUGACAGGAUUCCCUCUUCCCUAGUACUAGCUUAUGAAACUCUUGUGUAUGCACAAAUAUUUCUCUUGCGUGCAUGUGAAAUGCCUUUUCGUCCUGAGAAAAGUGUUCUCUGCAGAAACUACCCGUGUGUAAACAGAAGAUUGGCUUUAAAAGGCAACUGUGAUGGGAACAGUGUCUUAGGGAGAUGCAGCUUGGACUUGAGGUAAAUUGAAUGCUUUACAAAAAUGUGGUUUUGAGCUUGCAUUGACAUUGUAUGUAAUAUGGGUACACAUUAACUGUAUAAUGGUUUUGUAUGGUUUUUCUCAAUAAAUGUAAACUGAUGAAUAAUAA
Melospiza georgiana is the source of this 5837-nucleotide RNA transcript. It is a transcript of the gene named far upstream element binding protein 1, with no coding region annotated. Lineage: Eukaryota; Metazoa; Chordata; Aves; Passeriformes; Passerellidae. The record is from RefSeq and is a predicted model, not a curated record. The transcript has 21 exons.